AGCUUGGUACAUGAGCACUUGCGGUCUUUCUGAUCGAUCGGCAAAGGUGUGUAAGCUGUUUUUUUGUACGGUAGCUCUGCUGAGCCACGAUCAAACUCUAAGUGGGGGAUAGCACGGGGAAACUCGUAUUAAUACCGCAUACGACCUACGGGAGAAAGGGGGCAUCUUGAUGCUCUCGCUAUUAGAUGAGCCUAAGUCGGAUUAGCUAGAUGGUGGGGUAAAGGCCUACCAUGGCGACGAUCUGUAGCUGGUCUGAGAGGAUGAUCAGCCACACCGGAACUGAGACACGGUCCGGACUCCUACGGGAGGCAGCAGUGGGGAAUAUUGGACAAUGGGGGCAACCCUGAUCCAGCCAUGCCGCGUGUGUGAAGAAGGCCUUUUGGUUGUAAAGCACUUUAAGCAGUGAAGAAGACUCAAUGGUUAAUACCCAUUGACGAUGACAUUAGCUGCAGAAUAAGCACCGGCUAACUCUGUGCCAGCAGCCGCGGUAAUACAGAGGGUGCAAGCGUUAAUCGGAAUUACUGGGCGUAAAGCGAGCGUAGGUGGCUUGAUAAGUCAGAUGUGAAAUCCCCGGGCUUAACCUGGGAACUGCAUCUGAUACUGUUAGGCUAGAAUAGGUGAGAGGAAGGUAGAAUUCCAGGUGUAGCGGUGAAAUGCGUAGAGAUCUGGAGGAAUACCGAUGGCGAAGGCAGCCUUCUGGCAUCAUAUUGACACUGAGGUUCGAAAGCGUGGGUAGCAAACAGGAUUAGAUACCCUGGUAGUCCACGCCGUAAACGAUGUCUACUAGUCGUUGGGUCCCUUGAGGACUUAGUGACGCAGCUAACGCAAUAAGUAGACCGCCUGGGGAGUACGGCCGCAAGGUUAAAACUCAAAUGAAUUGACGGGGGCCCGCACAAGCGGUGGAGCAUGUGGUUUAAUUCGAUGCAACGCGAAGAACCUUACCUGGUCUUGACAUAUCUAGAAUCUUGUAGAGAUACGAGAGUGCCUUCGGGAAUUAGAAUACAGGUGCUGCAUGGCUGUCGUCAGCUCGUGUCGUGAGAUGUGGGUUAAGUCCCGCACGAGCGCACCCUUGUCCUUAGUUACCAGCGUUUGGCC
This 1095-nucleotide ribosomal RNA is filed under the name Psychrobacter proteolyticus. RNAcentral's name for it is "bacterial SSU rRNA". It matches the Rfam family "Bacterial small subunit ribosomal RNA", at positions 41 to 1130 of the family's 1533-position model. The record is from RNAcentral. Lineage: Bacteria; Pseudomonadati; Pseudomonadota; Gammaproteobacteria; Moraxellales; Moraxellaceae.